UACGUAGGGGGCAAGCGUUGUCCGGAAUUAUUGGGCGUAAAGAGCGCGUGUAGGCGGCCCGGUAAGUCCGCUGUGAAAGUCGGGGGCUCAACCCUCGAAUGCCGGUGGAUACUGUCGGGCUCGAGUGCGGAAGAGGCGAGUGGAAUUCCUGGUGUAGCGGUGAAAUGCGCAGAUAUCAGGAGGAACACCGAGUUGCGAAGGCAGC
Molecule: ribosomal RNA, 205 nt
Filed under: uncultured bacterium
Lineage: Bacteria
Description: partial 16S ribosomal RNA
Rfam family: Bacterial small subunit ribosomal RNA
Source: RNAcentral